GGAAGUAAAAAGUCGUAACAAGGUUUCCGUAGGUGAACCUGCGGAAGGAUCAUUAUUGAAAUAAACCUGAUGGGUUGUUGCUGGUUCUCUAGGGAGCAUGUGCACACCUUGUCAUCUUUAUAUCUCCACCUGUGCACUUUUUGUAGACCUUCUCAGGUCUAUGUUGCUUCAUUUUACCUCCAAUGUAUGUCAAUAGAAUGUUGUGCCUUAUAUAAUAUAUACAACUUUCAGCAACGGAUCUCUUGGCUCUCGCAUCGAUGAAGAACGCAGCGAAAUGCGAUAAGUAAUGUGAAUUGCAGAAUUCAGUGAAUCAUCGAAUCUUUGAACGCACCUUGCGCUCCUUGGUAUUCCGAGGAGCAUGCCUGUUUGAGUGUCAUUAAUAUAAUCAACCUUCUCUUUGUUGAGUGGUUUUGGAUGUGGGGGUUUGCUGGCCUCUCUCAAAAGGUUCAGCUCCCCUGAAAUACAUUAGCAGAACAACCUUGCUCAUUGGUGUGAUAGCUUAUCUACGCUUAUGAAUGCAAGGGGGCAGUUCAGCUUUCUAACGGUCUUUGGACAA
This 556-nucleotide ribosomal RNA is filed under the name Cortinarius privignoides. RNAcentral's name for it is "eukaryotic LSU rRNA". The stretch from base 223 to 376 matches the Rfam family "5.8S ribosomal RNA". The record is from RNAcentral. Lineage: Eukaryota; Fungi; Basidiomycota; Agaricomycetes; Agaricales; Cortinariaceae.